GAAAGCAUCUAAGCAUGAAGCCCCCCUCAAGAUGAGAUUUCCCAUGGCGCAAGCUAGUAAGAUCCCUGAAAGAUGAUCAGGUUGAUAGGUCAGAGGUGGAAGCGUGGCGACAUGUGGAGCUGACUGAUACUAAUAGAUCGAGGACUUAACCAAC
Molecule: ribosomal RNA, 154 nt
Filed under: Peribacillus simplex
Lineage: Bacteria; Bacillati; Bacillota; Bacilli; Caryophanales; Bacillaceae
Description: Bacillus simplex partial 23S ribosomal RNA
Rfam family: Bacterial large subunit ribosomal RNA
Source: RNAcentral